RNAcentral lists this transfer RNA (73 nucleotides) under Caudoviricetes sp. RNAcentral's name for it is "tRNA-OTHER". It matches the Rfam family "tRNA". From Rfam's summary of the family: Transfer RNA (tRNA) molecules are approximately 80 nucleotides in length. The record is from RNAcentral. Lineage: Duplodnaviria; Heunggongvirae; Uroviricota; Caudoviricetes.
UGGAACGUAGCUCAGAGGUAGAGCAGUUGAUCUUAAAGCUAGCGUGUCGAAGGUUCGAGUCCUUCCGUUCCGA